CAGUCGCCGCGGUAAUACGUAGGGGGCAAGCGUUAUCCGGAAUAACUGGGCGUAAAGGGUGCGCAGGUGGUUUAACAAGUUAGUGGUGAAAGGCAUAGGCUCAACCAAUGUAAGCCAUUAAAACUGUUUAACUUGAGUGCAGGAGAGGAAAGUGGAAUUCCUAGUGUAGCGGUGAAAUGCGUAGAUAUUAGGAGGAAUACCAGUGGCGAAGGCGACUUUCUGGACUGCAACUGACACUGAGGCACGAAAGCGUGGGGAGCAAAUAGGAUUAGAUACCCCGGUAGUCCCUGUCUCUUAUACA
RNAcentral lists this ribosomal RNA (301 nucleotides) under uncultured bacterium. RNAcentral describes it as "partial 16S ribosomal RNA". It matches the Rfam family "Bacterial small subunit ribosomal RNA", at positions 509 to 808 of the family's 1533-position model. The record is from RNAcentral.